This 469-nucleotide ribosomal RNA is filed under the name uncultured bacterium. Its description in RNAcentral is "partial 16S ribosomal RNA". It matches the Rfam family "Bacterial small subunit ribosomal RNA", at positions 28 to 507 of the family's 1533-position model. The record is from RNAcentral.
GACGAACGCUGGCGGCGUGCUUAACACAUGCAAGUCGAACGAUGAUCUCCCGCUUGCGGGGGUGAUUAGUGGCGAACGGGUGAGUAAUACGUGAGUAACCUGCCCUUGACUCUGGGAUAAGCCUGGGAAACCGGGUCUAAUACUGGAUACUACUUCCUGCCGCAUGGGGGGGGGUGGAAAGGGUUUUACUGGUUUUGGAUGGGCUCCCGGCCUAUCAGCUUGUUGGUGGGGUAAUGGCUCACCAAGGCGACGACGGGUAGCCGGCCUGAGAGGGUGACCGGCCCCCCUGGGACUGAGACACGGGCCAGACUCCUACGGGAGGCAGCAGUGGGGAAUAUUGCACAAUGGGCGGGAGCCUGAUGCAGCGACGCCGCGUGGGGGAUGACCGCCUUCGGGUUGGAAACCUCUUUCAGCAGGGAAGAAGCCACAAGUGACGGUACCUGCAGAAGAAGCGCCGGCUAACUACGUG